UGCGUAGGCGGCUUUUUAAGUUUGGUGUGAAAUCUCCCGGCUCAACUGGGAGGGUGCGCCGAAUACUGAGAGGCUAGAGUGUGGGAGAGGAAAGUGGAAUUCCUGGUGUAGCGGUGAAAUGCGUAGAUAUCAGGAGGAACACCGGUGGUGUAAACGGCUUUCUGGACCAUAACUGACGCUGAGGCACGAAAGCGUGGGUAGCAAACAGGAUUAGAUACCCUGGUAGUCCACGCCCUAAACGAUGCAUAUUUGGUGUGGGCCAUUCAUUUGGUCUGUGCCGGAGCUAACGCGUUAAAUAUGCCGCCUGGGGAGUACAGUCGCAAGGCUGAG
Molecule: ribosomal RNA, 330 nt
Filed under: uncultured bacterium
Lineage: Bacteria
Description: bacterial SSU rRNA
Rfam family: Bacterial small subunit ribosomal RNA
Source: RNAcentral